Molecule: non-coding RNA, 99 nt
Organism: Solanum lycopersicum (tomato)
Lineage: Eukaryota; Viridiplantae; Streptophyta; Magnoliopsida; Solanales; Solanaceae
Source: Rfam
GCCCUAAGAACCACGGAGAUGAUUGGAACAAUACAGAGAAGAUUAACAUGGCCCCUAACAAAGAUGAUACGAACAAAUCGAGAAAUGAUCCAAUGAGAC